This 253-nucleotide ribosomal RNA is filed under the name uncultured bacterium. Its description in RNAcentral is "partial 16S ribosomal RNA". It matches the Rfam family "Bacterial small subunit ribosomal RNA", at positions 524 to 776 of the family's 1533-position model. The record is from RNAcentral.
UACAGAGGGUGCUAGCGUUGUUCGGAAUCAUUGGGCGUAAAGGGCGUGUAAGCGGUUUGUUAAGUCAUGUGUGAAAUCCCUCGGCUCAACCGGGGAAGGACGCAUGAAACUGGCAAGCUAGAGUACCAAAGAGGGGGGUGGAAUUCCCGGUGUAGCGGUGAAAUGCGUAGAUAUCAGGAGGAACACCUGUGGCGAAAGCGGCGCACUGGACCACAACUGACGCUGAGGCGCGAAAGCUAGGGGAGCAAACAGG